This is a long non-coding RNA of Trichechus manatus latirostris (Florida manatee), 233 nucleotides long. RefSeq lists it as uncharacterized. The record is from RefSeq and is a predicted model, not a curated record. NCBI's taxonomy places the organism in Eukaryota, Metazoa, Chordata, Mammalia, Sirenia, Trichechidae. The transcript has 3 exons.
GCACCUGAAAAGCUCCUAGACUGGGUGGGAGUUCAGAUAAAGCAAAGCUACAUCAUGGAUUAAAUCAUUAAUUUCUGCAGUAGUGGCUGUUGACCACCUGGCCUCUCCACAGCUCUCUCUGAUUCAGAGAUCACAAUGACUCAUCACAAGAAUCCUUCAGCACAGAGUUGAUCAUCAGGAGACCAUUUACAUGCAACUUGUUUCAGAAGUCCAUCUGGGGCUCCAGAAUCCAC